GAUGCCUAUGAGUAUAUGGUCGAUUACUCCCAGACCAACAAGCAGGCGGGGCGGUUGGAGAAUGUUGUUGGAUGGUAUCAUUCUCAUCCUGGAUAUGGAUGCUGGCUCUCGGGUAUUGAUGUUUCAACUCAAAUGCUCAAUCAGCAGUUUCAAGAACCCUUUUUGGCGGUUGUUAUUGAUCCAACAAGAACUGUAUCAGCUGGUAAAGUUGAGAUUGGGGCAUUCAGGACAUACCCAGAAGGAUAUAAGCCUCCAGAUGAUCCUGUCUCUGAAUAUCAGACCAUUCCUCUUAAUAAGAUUGAAGACUUUGGGGUGCAUUGCAAGCAGUAUUAUGCUUUGGAUAUCAC
This 347-nucleotide unclassified non-coding RNA is filed under the name Hevea brasiliensis (rubber tree). Lineage: Eukaryota; Viridiplantae; Streptophyta; Magnoliopsida; Malpighiales; Euphorbiaceae. The record is from RNAcentral.